UACAGAGGAUGCAAGCGUUAUCCGGAAUGAUUGGGCGUAAAGCGUCUGUAGGUGGCUUUUUAAGUCCGCCGUCAAAUCCCAGGGCUCAACUCUGGACAGGCGGUGGAAACUACCAAGCUGGAGUACGGUAGGGGCAGAGGGAAUUUCCGGUGUAGCGGUGAAAUGCGCAGAUAUCGGGAAGAACACCCGUGGCGAAGGCGGCUACUCUGGGACGGUACUGGACGCUGAGACGCGAAAGCGUGGGAGCGAACGAG
This 254-nucleotide ribosomal RNA is filed under the name uncultured bacterium. Its description in RNAcentral is "partial 16S ribosomal RNA". It matches the Rfam family "Bacterial small subunit ribosomal RNA", at positions 524 to 776 of the family's 1533-position model. The record is from RNAcentral.